AUUCCCAGAUGAGUACUUUCUUUCUAAUGUUAUUUAUUUUGAUAUACUGAGGAAUUUGUAUACCGCAUUGCCUUAAAAUGCAUGCCAACAGUGGUCUAGCUCGUUAUUCGUCUCGACUUUUUUUUGGAAUAAUGCUUGCGUUUGCUAAGUAUUUUGAGGAGGCAAUUAAUAUCAGUAUAUCAAUUAUAAGAGAGGAAUUUAGUAUAAUUGGAGUAUAUUUGCACGUUUUGAGUUGUUGAUCGUAAUCUUAUUACUUCAGAUGUUUUCAUAGCGACUUCUGGUACCCAUUGUAUAUUUAUAAUUAUUGUAACA
Molecule: non-coding RNA, 312 nt
Organism: Schizosaccharomyces pombe (fission yeast)
Lineage: Eukaryota; Fungi; Ascomycota; Schizosaccharomycetes; Schizosaccharomycetales; Schizosaccharomycetaceae
Source: the annotation of a GenBank genome assembly